Non-coding RNA from Malus domestica (apple), 442 nucleotides. Lineage: Eukaryota; Viridiplantae; Streptophyta; Magnoliopsida; Rosales; Rosaceae. The record is from RefSeq and is a predicted model, not a curated record.
AUUAAAUAAUCCGGGCCCACCUCCUUUAUACGGUAAACACCCGUUUCCUUAUCCCCUCUAAAAGCACGGGACAAUUUAGUCGGAACGCACUCUCGCUCUCUCAUUCUCUUGAGAACGCACUCUCGCUCUCUCCUUCCUCUCCAGACGCACCGUUCCCAGGAAAUAUUUGUUUUGUUGAUGCUCCCUGUGUUUGUUGGUGUUUAAGGAGAAAGCAAAGCAGAGGGAAGAGUUUGCAAAGCAGCAACAUGCAUAUAUUUUGGCUAUCUAGACAAACUGUUUCUUAGUGAAACCAACUUGCAUUUGUAUAUUUUAUGAACUUGGAUAUGUGGUUAGAUUAAUCUAUAUAACGUAAUGACUUGUAGUUUUUUUUUGUGAACCUUCUUUUAUGUUAUUGGAAAAUAUUUUGAAUUUGAUGUAUGGAAUUUACUAUUUAUCAUUGUUA